UACGUAGGGUGCAAGCGUUGUCCGGAAUUAUUGGGCGUAAAGAGCUCGUAGGCGGUCUGUCGCGUCGGCUGUGAAAACCCGGAGCUCAACUCCGGGCCUGCAGUCGAUACGGGCAGACUGGAGUUCGGCAGGGGAGACUGGAAUUCCUGGUGUAGCGGUGAAAUGCGCAGAUAUCAGGAGGAACACCUGUGGCGAAAGCGGCUCACUGGACCAUAACUGACGCUGAUGCACGAAAGCUAGGGGAGCAAACAGG
RNAcentral lists this ribosomal RNA (253 nucleotides) under uncultured bacterium. Its description in RNAcentral is "partial 16S ribosomal RNA". It matches the Rfam family "Bacterial small subunit ribosomal RNA", at positions 524 to 776 of the family's 1533-position model. The record is from RNAcentral.